UAGAUUGAAGCCCGCUGGUUUAGGCUUUUAUUUGUUAACUAAAUAUUUAUGGGAUCAAGGCCCGUCGAUCUAG
RNAcentral lists this transfer RNA (73 nucleotides) under Delma butleri. RNAcentral describes it as "tRNA-Asn". Lineage: Eukaryota; Metazoa; Chordata; Lepidosauria; Squamata; Pygopodidae. The record is from RNAcentral.